RNAcentral lists this transfer RNA (66 nucleotides) under Quedenfeldtia moerens. RNAcentral's name for it is "tRNA-Arg". The record is from RNAcentral. Lineage: Eukaryota; Metazoa; Chordata; Lepidosauria; Squamata; Sphaerodactylidae.
UAGCGACUAGUUUAACAAAACAGCUAGUUUCGGCCUAGCCAAUCUCGGCCCCCACUGAGGUCGCCA